RNAcentral lists this ribosomal RNA (478 nucleotides) under uncultured bacterium. RNAcentral describes it as "partial 16S ribosomal RNA". It matches the Rfam family "Bacterial small subunit ribosomal RNA", at positions 29 to 507 of the family's 1533-position model. The record is from RNAcentral.
AUGAACGCUGGCGGCGUGCUUAACCCAUGCAAGUCGAACGAAGCACUUAAGAUUGAUUCUUCGGAUGACGUCUUUUGUGACUUAGUGGCGGACGGGUGAGUAACGCGUGGGUAACCUGCCUCACACAGGGGGAUAACAGUUAGAAAUGACUGCUAAUACCGCAUAACCCGAUAGGAUCGCAUGAUCCAGACGGAAAAGAUUUAUCGGUGUGAGAUGGACCCGCGUCUGAUUAGCUAGUUGGUGAGGUAACGGCCCACCAAGGCGACGAUCAGUAGCCGGCCUGAGAGGGUGAACGGCCACAUUGGGACUGAGACACGGCCCAAACUCCUACGGGAGGCAGCAGUGGGGAAUAUUGCACAAUGGGGGAAACCCUGAUGCAGCGACGCCGCGUGAGUGAAGAAGUAUUUCGGUAUGUAAAGCUCUAUCAGCAGGGAAGAAAAUGACGGUACCUGACUAAGAAGCCCCGGCUAACUACGUG